ACCGGGGGGCCUACGGGAGGCAGCAGUGGGGAAUAUUGGGCAAUGGGCGAAAGCCUGACCCAGCCACGCCGCGUGAGUGAUGAAGGCCUUCGGGUCGUAAAGCUCUGUGGGGAGGGACGAACAAAUCUGGGGCUAAUCACCCGGGUCCUGACGGUACCUCCUUAGCAAGCACCGGCUAACCCUGUGCCAGCACC
Molecule: ribosomal RNA, 194 nt
Filed under: uncultured bacterium
Lineage: Bacteria
Description: partial 16S ribosomal RNA
Rfam family: Bacterial small subunit ribosomal RNA
Source: RNAcentral